UCUUGGACCAAAGAUUAAUCAUCUAGGUAGAGAGAAUUCAUUGUUGUUUCAUCUCCUUUUUCUUAUACGAUAAGAAAGAAAUUUGGGUUUGCAAUGGAUCUCCAUGCUCAACAACAUGCACCAACCUUGGGAUGUUUUACUUCCAAUCUUAUAGAGUUUCUGAUGGAGCUUGCUCUAAGUCUCGGUUGACAACUCCGAUUGUAUGCAUUCACACAGUCAAUUGAUAAUGAAGUAUUUGUAGUUACAUUUUCUAGGUUGGUGAUCUCUUCUGAUAUGAUAAACUUAUGAUAUGGGUGACAAAGUUUUUCACCUUUCCUCUAGCCCUGGAAAGAACGUACGUAUAAGAGUGAGAUUUCAAGAAUGGCUAUCAUUUCCUUGGAGUUGAUUUAUAAGGCAUGUAUCGAGUUUUCACGACCAAUAUGAAUUACUUUUUUACUUUUAUUAUUUUGAGUUGUUGAGAAUUUACUUUUACGCAAAAACUUAUAGAAAAAAAGAAUCAAUCUGAUAAUCCUUUGUGACUUCUACAUGUUAUUUUC
Long non-coding RNA from Nicotiana attenuata, 536 nucleotides. RefSeq lists it as uncharacterized. Lineage: Eukaryota; Viridiplantae; Streptophyta; Magnoliopsida; Solanales; Solanaceae. The transcript has 3 exons. The record is from RefSeq and is a predicted model, not a curated record.